This 598-nucleotide small RNA is filed under the name Pan troglodytes (chimpanzee). RNAcentral's name for it is "retained intron". Lineage: Eukaryota; Metazoa; Chordata; Mammalia; Primates; Hominidae. The record is from RNAcentral.
UAAUGUCAGGGAUUCCAGGGGCUGACCUUGGUGGGUGAUGAUGCUUUUCUGGACUGUCGCAGGACCCCUGGACCCCUGCAGCUCUCAUCCCUGAGGCACUUAGAGAAAAGCUCAGAGAGGAUCAGGAGAAGAGGCCUUGGGACCAUGAGCCCGUGAAGCCAAAGCCCUUGACCUACUGGAAGGAUGUCCUUCUGCUGGAGGGUGUGACCUUGACCCAGGAUUCCAGGCAGCUGAAUGGGUCGGAGCGGGCGGUGUUGGAUGGGCUGCUCACCCCAGCCGAGUGUGGGGUGCUGCUGCAGCUGGCUAAGGAUGCAGCUGGGGCUGGAGCCAGGUCUGGCUAUCGUGGUCGCCGCUCCCCUCACACCCCCCAUGAACGCUUCGAGGGGCUCACAGUGCUUAAGGCUGCGCAGCUGGCCCGGGCUGGGACAGUGGGCAGUCAGGGUGCUAAGCUGCUUCUGGAGGUGAGCGAGCGGGUGCGGACCUUGACCCAGGCCUACUUCUCCCCGGAACGGCCCCUGCAUCUGUCCUUCACCCACCUGGUGUGCCGCAGCGCCAUAGAAGGAGAGCAAGAGCAGCGCAUGGACCUGAGUCACCCAGU